AUUGAACGCUGGCGGCAGGCCUAACACAUGCAAGUCGAGCGGAUGAAGGGAUCUUGCUCCUGGAUUCAGCGGCGGACGGGUGAGUAAUGCCUAGGAAUCUGCCUGGUUGUGGGGGAUAACGUCCGGAAACGGUCGCUAAUUCCGCAUACGUCCUGAGUGAGAAUGUGGGGGAUCUUCGGACCUCACGCUAUCAUAUGAGCCUAGGUCGGAUUAGCUAGUUGGUGGGGUAAAGGCCUACCAAGGCGACGAUCCGUAACUGGUCUGAGAGGAUGAUCAGUCACACUGGAACUGAGACAAGGUCCAGACUCCUACGGGAGGCAGCAGUGGGGAAUAUUGGACAAUGGGCGAAAGACUGAUCCAGCCAUGCCGCGUGUGUGAAGAAGGUCUUCGGAUUGUAAAGCACUUUAAGUUGGGAGGAAGGGCAGUAAGUUAAUACCUUGCUGUUUUGACGUUACCAACAGAAUAAGCACCGGCUAACUUCGUG
This 484-nucleotide ribosomal RNA is filed under the name uncultured bacterium. Its description in RNAcentral is "partial 16S ribosomal RNA". It matches the Rfam family "Bacterial small subunit ribosomal RNA", at positions 30 to 507 of the family's 1533-position model. The record is from RNAcentral.